This 77-nucleotide transfer RNA is filed under the name Candidatus Blackburnbacteria bacterium RIFCSPHIGHO2_01_FULL_40_17. RNAcentral's name for it is "tRNA-Pro". It matches the Rfam family "tRNA". Rfam says of the family: Transfer RNA (tRNA) molecules are approximately 80 nucleotides in length. RNAcentral also lists the same sequence under 2 other names. Lineage: Bacteria; Candidatus Blackburniibacteriota. The record is from RNAcentral.
CGGGGUGUGGCGCAGCUGGCUAGCGCGCCUCGUUUGGGACGAGGAGGCCCUCGGUUCGAAUCCGAGCACCCCGACUA